This 254-nucleotide ribosomal RNA is filed under the name uncultured bacterium. RNAcentral's name for it is "partial 16S ribosomal RNA". It matches the Rfam family "Bacterial small subunit ribosomal RNA", at positions 524 to 776 of the family's 1533-position model. The record is from RNAcentral.
UACAGAGGGGGCAAGCGUUGUUCGGAAUUACUGGGCGUAAAGGGCGCGUAGGCGGCCACCGCAAGUCGGUUGUGAAAUCUCUGGGCUUAACCCAGAAAGGUCAACCGAUACUGCGGGGCUAGAGUGCAGAAGGGGCAACUGGAAUUCUCGGUGUAGCGGUGAAAUGCGUAGAUAUCGAGAGGAACACCUGCGGCGAAGGCGGGUUGCUGGGCUGACACUGACGCUGAAGCGCGAAAGCUAGGGGAGCAAACGGG